GGACGUUUUGUUGUUGCCGCUGUUGUUUAGAAGCUACUAUCUCGACUGGUCGAUACGAGCAGUGAAAACAAGAUGAUCUUUCUACACGGACUGGCUUUGGCCGUAUAUGAAUUUCAGAGAUACCUCAAAUACCGCGAUGAUCAAAGAGUAGAGAUGCCGAAGCGGGAGGCAGAUCGCCAAGCCGCCGAAGCGUUCGCCGCAC
Long non-coding RNA from Haliotis rubra (blacklip abalone), 202 nucleotides. RefSeq lists it as uncharacterized. The record is from RefSeq and is a predicted model, not a curated record. NCBI's taxonomy places the organism in Eukaryota, Metazoa, Mollusca, Gastropoda, Lepetellida, Haliotidae. The transcript is spliced from 3 exons.